Long non-coding RNA from Felis catus (domestic cat), 2205 nucleotides. RefSeq lists it as uncharacterized. The record is from RefSeq and is a predicted model, not a curated record. Lineage: Eukaryota; Metazoa; Chordata; Mammalia; Carnivora; Felidae. The transcript has 3 exons.
UCUCUCUCUGUCUCAAAAAUAAAUAAACAUCAAAAAAAAUUAAAAAUAUAUAUAUAAGUGAGGUAAUUUUACUCCUCUGUUGAAAACCUUCUAAUAGUUUUCCAUCUUUUCUCAGAGUAUGAGCAAAAGCCAAAACCCUUACAAUGGCCUAUAAAGCACAAUGCAUUCCAGUCUCUUGUUAUCUUUCUGAUACCAUCUCUUACACUCUCCUCAUAUUCUCUUCAUUCCAACCAGUGGUCUCCUUGCUGUUACUCAAAUCCACCAGCCCUUGUCCAUCCCAGCGCCUGGCAUCCUCACCUCCUACGAAUUCUUCUUAAAAUUUAGCUUCUCAGUAAGGUUUUUCUCUGGACAGCCUAUUUAAAAUCACAACCUUCCUUCCCUUCCCCUCCACUCUUUUUCCAAUCUGCCUUCCCUGCUUUAUUUUUCUCUAUACAACUCUUGACCAUUUGAUACACUACCUAUAAACUAAAUAUUUAGUUUAUAUUGAAAUAUAAUAUACACACAGAAAAGUAUAUGUAAGUGUUCAGCUCAAUUAAUUUUCACAAACUGAAUGCAAUCAUGUAACUAGCACCCAGACCAAGAAACAGAAUAUUACCAACACCUGUAGAUUUUCCUCAUGCUCCCUCCUAGCCACUGUGCCCUCUUCACACUCUAAGGGUAAGCACGACUCUAACUUCUGACAGCAUAGAUCAAUUUUGCUUGUGUUUGUAUUUCAUAUAAAUGGACCCAUACAGUGACAUACUACAUAUUUUAAUGAUCUGUUUAUUUACUGCCUAUUUUACCCAACUACUAGCAUGUAAGUUCCAAGACAGAAGGAAUUCGUUUUGUUUAUUUCUGUAUACCCAAUGCCUAAAAGAGGAUCUGGCACAGAGUUGUAGCCCAACAAAUAUUUGAUGAAUGAAUGAAAUAUUGAACAAAUAGAAAUGAGAGUAGGAGAUUUAGGAAAGGCUUAACGUCUGAGCCAAAUCCUUCAGGAUGAUUAGGAGUCCAUGAAGCAGUUCCAAAAAAGAAAGGCAACCUAAGCAUAGGCAGGGCCUCUGUGGUGGCUUGGCAGAAUGAAAAAAUAAGCACAGUCUAGAACCAUGAGAAGUCAGUUAGCUGAAAGUAACGGCAAUAGCCAUGUGUUGAAAAACAGUGAGUUAUGAGGGUGGAAAAAUAGGCAGAUGCCCGAUCUCAAAGGGCUUUAUAUAAAUAAGUCCAUGCACAGAGUUAGAAAGGAAGAAAAGUAAAAUAUAGGGGACUCUAGGCACUUCCAGGACACCAGGCAUUUUUAGGUGUUGACCUUUUGGAGCAUUUCAGAGGACAUGAAACAGGAAUUUCCUUGAAGUCAACUUAUUAAUAACUUUUUGUAGUGACUCAAAAAAGAGUCUGUGGCCCCUAUGGUAAUGGUGAGAGACCUCUAACUACUUCUGAAUAUGUGAGAAAGGCUUCUGAAUAUGUGAGAAUAAUCUGAGGAAUAAGUAACCUCCAUUUUUUUUUCCUUUAAAGGAAUGGACAACGCAAAAUAAAUCUCUGAGUCUGUCUAAUUAUCUUUGUUUUACCGGAAUGGGGCAAGGAGCCAGGAGCUCUGCUUUCCUCACCUGCUGCCCAUGACUUUGAGGAGAUGGCACCCCCAUCUCAUGGGGAGGGAUAAGCCAGAGAUGCUGUCUCACCUACCACUGCUGUAUUUACUUUUGGAAUCUUCCCCUCUCCAGGGGUUCAUUGCAGACCCUCUGCUGACCUCAGACACCCUGCUGGAGUCACAGAAGAUAACAAAUGAUUUUCACCACCACCUUCUUAUCUCUACCAGCACUUGCCCUGGAGGGAUUCUACUAUGCCUCCCUCCACCCACAGGAGGUCUCUGGUGAGAAGAAGACCACUCUCCUAUAAUCCUGAGAAGGGCUCAGAACAACACUUCAGAGCUGGUCUGCCAGUGGAACUGCUGCCUCUGCCAUAUCAGGAAGCUGGUAAAUCAGGAAGUCAUCACGGCAAGUACUGACUCCAGAGCCAAACCGCACCUGCUAGAUUCACACGGACAAAAGAAAGGAUGCCUCGUGCAAUAUCACCUCUCUCCCCAUUCAAAUCAAUUGGUGAUUCAAUCUGUGAGCAAAUGUAUCUGAUUAGCAGAGUUUAUGUCAUUCCCAGAACCCAAACUGUAAAGCAAUCUUAGAAAUGUAGUUUUUUUUUUUUGUUUGUUUGUUUCUUUCUUUGUUUUACUCUCUAGCC